GACGAACGCUGGCGGCGUGCCUAAUACAUGCAAGUAGAACGCACAGUUUAUACCGUAGCUUGCUACACCAUAAACUGUGAGUUGCGAACGGGUGAGUAACGCGUAGGUAACCUGCCUGGUAGCGGGGGAUAACUAUUGGAAACGAUAGCUAAUACCGCAUAAUAUUGAUUAUUGCAUGAUAAUUGAUUGAAAGAUGCUAUUGCAUCACUACCAGAUGGACAUGCGUUGUAUUAGCUAGUAGGUGAGGUAACGGCUCACCUAGGCGACGAUACAUAGCCGACCUGAGAGGGUGAUCGGCCACGCUGGGACUGAGACACGGCCCAGACUCCUACGGGAGGCAGCAGUAGGGAAUCUUCGGCAAUGGACGAAAGUCUGACCGAGCAACGCCGCGUGAGUGAAGAAGGUUUUCGGAUCGUAAAGCUCUGUUGUAAGAGAAGAACGGGUGUGAGAGUGGAAAGUUCACACUGUGACGGUAUCUUACCAGAAAGGGACGGCUAACUACGUG
RNAcentral lists this ribosomal RNA (505 nucleotides) under uncultured bacterium. RNAcentral describes it as "partial 16S ribosomal RNA". It matches the Rfam family "Bacterial small subunit ribosomal RNA", at positions 28 to 507 of the family's 1533-position model. The record is from RNAcentral.